This 1469-nucleotide long non-coding RNA is filed under the name Homo sapiens (human). RNAcentral's name for it is "HSALNT0076485". Lineage: Eukaryota; Metazoa; Chordata; Mammalia; Primates; Hominidae. The record is from RNAcentral.
AACUUUACCAUAUUAACAUCUAAUUUUGUAUAUAUAAUUGUAAAUACUAUUUAAAAGGUAAACUGAAACACAAUACUAUUUUAAAAAAUUUAUUGCAGCUAACAAUGAUUCAUUAACCGGGCGGCUCCAAACCAGAAGUGAUCUGAGAGCUCCACCAAGUGAAAUGCAACAGGGAAGCUUUUACAAUCCUAUCAUUGAGGUGAAUAACAACAUCAAGAAGAAAAUGGAAGCUAUCAGAAAAGCCUCUACCAUCCCCACCACAUCUACCUGUCUACCUGUGUGUGUUCCUAAACUCCAGCUUCUCUCAUGAAAGAACUCUCCAUGCAUCUGGCUUAAGGUCAUCCCAUCCCUGAUCUCCACUUAAGGUUCAUGGCUGGAGGGAGCUUGCCUUGAGACUCAAAUGAGAUUUUGAACUUUAAACGAUCGAGUUGUUGCUGAAACAGGUAAGACUUUGCAGCUAUAGGGUGAUUGUAUUUCGUACUUGAAAAAGACAUGAGUUUGAGGGGCCAGGGGCCGAAUGCUAUUGGUUUGACUGUGUCCCCUCUGAAACUUAUGUUGAAAUUGGAUUCCCAAUUUGGCAGUGUUUGGAGGUGGGCCUACUGCGAGGUGUUUGAAACAUGGGAGUACUGCCCUCAUGAAUAGAUUAAUGCUGUCUUAAAGGAGUAAGUUCUUGCUCUUGCAGAAAUUAAUUAGUUCCCAUGAGAGUGGGUUGUUAUAAGUGAGCCCAGCCUCUCAUGCGUGUCCCUUUGCACUCAUCUGCUCGCCUUACUGCUUGUCUGCUAUGUUGUGAUGUAGCACAUGGCCCUAACUAAAAGGUGAGCAGAUAACAGUAUCAUGCUCUUGGACUAGAAUUGUCACCAGAAUUGUGAAACAAAUGAAUCUAUUUUCUUUAUAAAUUACCCAGUCUCAGGGAUUCUGUUACGGCAACACAAAAUGGACAAAGACAGGAGGUAAUUAGCAUUAGAUAAGAUCCUCAGGGUAGGAACCUCAUGAGAUUGGCAGCUUUAUAAGAAGAGGAAGAGAGACCUGAGCUGGAACAUUUGCUCUGUCUUGCCACAUAAUGUCUCUUGCCAAGUCAUGACACAGCAGGAAGGCCCUCAUUAGAUACCUGUGCCAUGCUCUUGGACUUCCCAGCUUCCAGAAGAGUGAGCUAACUAAAUCUCCAUUCUUUAUAAAAUUACCCAUUCUGCAGAAUUGAAAUAUCGCAACAGACAAUAUUUUAAGACAAUUACAUCUUCAGACAAUUAAGGCAUAAUUAAAACAAUAGAAAUGUUGAACUUACAGAAUGCAGGUGGUGGGAUUAUUGAGAAGGUGCUGGUCAAAAGACAUAAAAUUUCAGCUGGAUAAACCUAGAGUUUACAAGGGUAUUGGGAAAUGGAUUUUAAAAAAAUACUUCUGGGAGAGUAAUGUUGCAGGCUUUCAAAAAAGCAGUUUGCGUUAAUUAAGGUUUUUAAUUCUGUAUACUUCUA